RNAcentral lists this non-coding RNA (875 nucleotides) under Drosophila persimilis. RNAcentral's name for it is "Eukaryotic large subunit ribosomal RNA". It matches the Rfam family "Eukaryotic large subunit ribosomal RNA", at positions 1606 to 2271 of the family's 3401-position model. Lineage: Eukaryota; Metazoa; Arthropoda; Insecta; Diptera; Drosophilidae. The record is from Rfam by way of RNAcentral.
UCGGUUUCCCAAUUCCGUUACCCUGGUGAGUAUCCGAUAGGUUCUUAAAUAUGGAGCUCGGUGUUUCUCCCUGGCAACAAGAAUAGCCCCUUAAAGAAGCCGGUCGGGAGGAUAUCGAAGGGAGUUUUCUUUUCUGUUUUAUAGCCGGUAAUUCCAUGGAAGUCUUUCGCAGAGAGAUAUGGUAGAUGGGCUAGAAGAGCAUGACAUAUACUGUUGUGUCGAUAUUUUCUCCUCGGACCUUGAAAAUUUAUGGUGGGGACACGCAAACUUCUCAACAGGCCGUACCAAUAUCCGCAGCUGGUCUCCAAGGUGAAGAGUCUCUAGUCGAUAGAAUAAUGUAGGUAAGGGAAGUCGGCAAAUUAGAUCCGUAACUUUGGAAUAAGGAUUGGCUCUGAAGAUUGAGAUAGUCGGGCUUGAUUGGGAAACAAUAACAUGGUUUAUGUGCUCCUUCUGGGUAAAUAGAGUUUCUAUCAUUUAUGGUAGUUACUUGUUCCCCGGAUAGUUUAGUUACGUAGCCAAUUGUGGAACUUUCUUGCUAAAAUUUUUAAGAAUACUAAUUGGGUUAAACCAGUUAGUUCUUAUUAAUUAUAACGAUUAUCAAUUAACAAUCAAUUCAGAACUGGCACGGACUUGGGGAAUCCGACUGUCUAAUUAAAACAAAGCAUUGUGAUGGCCCUAGCGGGUGUUGACACAAUGUGAUUUCUGCCCAGUGCUCUGAAUGUCAAAGUGAAGAAAUUCAAGUAAGCGCGGGUCAACGGCGGGAGUAACUAUGCCAUUUUGGCUUCCCGGUUGACCUCAUCAGUCGACUGGGAUCCGCGUCAGCGAGGUUUCCUUCCAACCGACGGAUGUGCCGAUAAUACGACGAUAGUCGACUU